Molecule: ribosomal RNA, 25 nt
Filed under: Xeromphalina campanella
Lineage: Eukaryota; Fungi; Basidiomycota; Agaricomycetes; Agaricales; Mycenaceae
Description: partial large subunit ribosomal RNA
Source: RNAcentral
CUUGACAAUUUGACCUCAAAUCAGG